Molecule: ribosomal RNA, 473 nt
Filed under: uncultured bacterium
Lineage: Bacteria
Description: partial 16S ribosomal RNA
Rfam family: Bacterial small subunit ribosomal RNA
Source: RNAcentral
GACGAACGCUGGCGGCGUGCUUAACACAUGCAAGUCGAACGAUGAACCCGGAGCUUGCUCCGGUGGAUUAGUGGCGAACGGGUGAGUAACCUGCCCUUGACUCUGGGAUAACUGCGGGAAACUGUAGCUAAUACCGGAUACGACCCUCGGCGGCAUCGCCAGGGGGUGGAAAGAAUUUCGGUCAAGGAUGGACUCGCGGCCUAUCAGCUAGUUGGUGAGGUAACGGCUCACCAAGGCGACGACGGGUAGCCGGCCUGAGAGGGUGACCGGCCACACUGGGACUGAGACACGGCCCAGACUCCUACGGGAGGCAGCAGUGGGGAAUAUUGCACAAUGGGCGCAAGCCUGAUGCAGCAACGCCGCGUGAGGGAUGACGGCCUUCGGGUUGUAAACCUCUUUUAGUAGGGAAGAAGCGAAAGUGACGGUACCUGCAGAAAAAGCACCGGCUAACUACGUGCCAGCAGCCGCGGUAA